Molecule: ribosomal RNA, 424 nt
Filed under: uncultured prokaryote
Description: bacterial SSU rRNA
Rfam family: Bacterial small subunit ribosomal RNA
Source: RNAcentral
CAAGGAAUUUUCCCCAAUGGGCGCAAGCCUGAGGGAGCAACGCCGCGUGCAGGAUGACGGCUUUCGGGUUGUAAACUGCUUUUGCGUGGGACGAUAACGACGGUACCACGCGAAUAAGCCCCGGCUAACUCUGUGCCAGCAGCCGCGGUAAUACGGAGGGUGCGAGCGUUAAUCGGAAUUACUGGGCGUAAAGCGCGCGUAGGCGGUUUGUUAAGUCGGAUGUGAAAGCCCCGGGCUCAACCUGGGAACUGCACCCGAUACUGGCCGACUGGAGUGCGAGAGAGGGAGGUAGAAUUCCACGUGUAGCGGUGAAAUGCGUAGAUAUGUGGAGGAAUACCGGUGGCGAAGGCGGCCUCCUGGCUCGACACUGACGCUGAGGUGCGAAAGCGUGGGGAGCAAACAGGAUUAGAUACCCCCGUAGUCC